Molecule: ribosomal RNA, 510 nt
Filed under: uncultured bacterium
Lineage: Bacteria
Description: partial 16S ribosomal RNA
Rfam family: Bacterial small subunit ribosomal RNA
Source: RNAcentral
GACGAACGCUGGCGGCGUGCUUAACACAUGCAAGUCGAACGAAGAGCGACGGAAUCUUGCUUCUAUCAAUCUUAGUGGCGAACGGGUGAGUAACGCGUAAUCAACCUGCCCUUCAGAGGGGGACAACAGUUGGAAACGACUGCUAAUACCGCAUACGAUCUAACCUCGGCAUCGAGGAUAGAUGAAAGGUGGCCUCUACAUGUAAGCUAUCACUGAAGGAGGGGAUUGCGUCUGAUUAGCUAGUUGGAGGGGUAACGGCCCACCAAGGCGAUGAUCAGUAGCCGGUCUGAGAGGAUGAACGGCCACAUUGGGACUGAGACACGGCCCAGACUCCUACGGGAGGCAGCAGUGGGGAAUCUUCCGCAAUGGACGAAAGUCUGACGGAGCAACGCCGCGUGAGUGAUGACGGCCUUCGGGUUGUAAAGCUCUGUUAAUCGGGACGAAAGGCCUUCUUGCGAAUAGUGAGAAGGAUUGACGGUACCGGAAUAGAAAGCCACGGCUAACUACGUG